Molecule: RNA transcript, 292 nt
Organism: Pogona vitticeps (central bearded dragon)
Lineage: Eukaryota; Metazoa; Chordata; Lepidosauria; Squamata; Agamidae
Gene name: protein N-terminal asparagine amidohydrolase-like
Source: RefSeq, a predicted model, not a curated record
AGAUUUUGUUCAGACCUUGCUGAAGCCACACUUAACCAAAUAUGUUGAGGGAAAGGCAGUAAAAGAAAAUUCGAGCUUUAUCCCACACUUCUGGAAAUUUAUUUUGCAGGAGCGAGCCAAAGUAUUAAGAAGCCAGCCUGCUCAGACCGUGGGGCCCAAAGGACUUCUCUAUGUCCAGCAAAGAGAAUUUGCAGCAACUACUCCUAAGGAUGGUUCUGUUUCUGUUCUUGGAUCAGAGGAUGCCACUACCUGUCACUUAGUUGUACUUCAGCACACUGGUACUUCACAUCUG